AACGAACGCUGGCGGCGCGCCUAAUACAUGCAAGUCGAGCGAGAAGGUGUAGCAAUACACUUGUAAAGCGGCGAACGGGUGAGGAAUGCAUGGGUAACCUACCCUCGAGUGGGGAAUAACUAGCCGAAAGGUUGGCUAAUACCGCAUACGUUUCCGGAACUUCGGUUUCGGAAAGAAAGCAAUACCGUGGGUAUUGCGCUCCUGGAUGGGCUCAUGUCCUAUCAGCUUGUUGGUGAGGUAACGGCUCACCAAGGCUUCGACGGGUAGCUGGUCUGAGAGGACGAUCAGCCACACUGGCACUGCGACACGGGCCAGACUCCUACGGAGGCAGCAGUAAGGAAUAUUGCGCAAUGGACGAAAGUCUGACGCAGCGACGCCGCGUGGGGGGAUGAAGGUCUUCGGAUUGUAAACCCCUUUCGGGAGGGAAGAUGGAGUGGGUAACCACUUGGACGGUACCUCCAGAAGCAGCCACGGCUAACUUCGUGCCAGCAGCCGCGGUAAU
RNAcentral lists this ribosomal RNA (502 nucleotides) under uncultured bacterium. RNAcentral's name for it is "bacterial SSU rRNA". It matches the Rfam family "Bacterial small subunit ribosomal RNA", at positions 29 to 524 of the family's 1533-position model. The record is from RNAcentral.